This 322-nucleotide ribosomal RNA is filed under the name uncultured Oscillospiraceae bacterium. RNAcentral describes it as "partial 16S ribosomal RNA". Lineage: Bacteria; Bacillati; Bacillota; Clostridia; Eubacteriales; Oscillospiraceae. The record is from RNAcentral.
GGAGUCUGGGCCGUAUCUCAGUCCCAAUGUGGCCGUUCAACCUCUCAGUCCGGCUACUGAUCGUUGCCUUGGUAGGCCGUUGCCCCACCAACUAGCUAAUCAGACGCAAGCUCAUCUGUUAGCGGAUUGCUCCUUUCCCACUGGAACCAUGUGGUUCUUAUGGCAUAUGCGGUAUUAGCAAUGAUUUCUCACUGUUAUUCCCCUCUAAUAGGUAGAUUGCUUACGCGUUACUCACCAGUCCGCCACUAACCGCUUCUCAAUAUAAAUAUUAAGAUUAAGUUCGUUCGACUUGCAUGUCUUAUGUGCGCCGCCAGCGUUUAUC